GCGCUUGCUGGACCGGCAGUUGCGAGCGCUCGCGGUGCGCGAAGGGUUGGCGUGCUGUGCUACCCGUCUGGAGAUGCGCC
Molecule: transfer RNA, 80 nt
Filed under: compost metagenome
Description: tRNA-Ala
Source: RNAcentral